Molecule: long non-coding RNA, 1399 nt
Filed under: Nicotiana benthamiana
Lineage: Eukaryota; Viridiplantae; Streptophyta; Magnoliopsida; Solanales; Solanaceae
Description: long non-coding RNA (NBEN_LNC034460)
Source: RNAcentral
UUUUUUUUUGUUUUUUUUGUCUCUAAAAGAUAAGAAAAGGUUGUUAUUAAUUACAUUAGAAUUCAGGCUACGAGUUCAAGUCCGGGUCAAAACAAAAGGGAGAACCCUUUUAGCUUGGACGCACUACCUAAUUCAAAGACCAAAUUUGUCAUUUAUCUAGUAUAAACCAACAAUAAUUUUAUACUAGCAUGUUACUAAACUCAAUGGUAGGCAAAACAAUACAUAUAUUGACCAUUUAACCCUCAAGAGAAACUAUCAAAACAAGCCUUGGCCCACGUCCGUAUAUGAAGGAGAAUACCACUGGACCUGGGCAUGCGUGACAAAGGGCUUGAAGCCAAAUGCCUUAAUGGCGGAUAGGGGUCACGUUCAAUAAGGUCUGAAAUUUGAUUUCCCACGCCUACAAACUAGUUUCAAGUCUGGUUUGAGCUAAUGUUCCCUGCCUAAGCAAAUUAUUCAACACCAAUUCCACAUUAAUUAUUCUUCCCUACAUGAAUUAAUUCAAUACUAAUAAUUGCAUGAGAUAAUCAAAGAGAAUAGAAUCAAUGACCUUGGUUAUUCGAAAAGGCUUGCUUAUGUGAAGCUAUAGCUACUAAUAAAGUGUUAAACUACGAGAUCAGUGCCAUGAGUUAUAUAUACUGAACAUGCUUUCAAGUUGCAAUUACAGUUGUGACCAAAACUCACAAACACUUAAUUAUUCACGCUUUAAAUUCUUCCAGUUUUGCUUCACCACUCAAACCGGACUAAAACAAAUUCUAAUUCAGGCUAUUGAUUAACUCUAAUGCAUACAAGUAUUAAAACUUGUCCAGGAUUAGUAACAAACAAGCAAUUGAAUUACAUAAUACUAUCUAAAUCUGUCAGAACUUCGAGUGCAUAGUAGAGAAUCAACACCAAUUCAUUUUAUGCUCCAAUCAUAUGAGGUUACAACCACAUGAUCUCUAAUUUUGUACCUGAAAAUGGAAUUUUAAUAGAGGAAACGAAUCAGCAGCAGCUAUACUGUAGCAGAAUAAGAAAAAUUCAGGCAGCAACACUUCGAGAUAGUCAACAGCAACAAUAACCAACCCAGAAAGUCGAAAUAUAUCACAGAAAUAUUUAAUUUCACACAAAAUCCAUGAAUCCACUAGAAAUGACACCAAAUCAACUCAAAAAGCAAACCAACACACCUUUAACCUUUCAGCAAACAAAAUAUACCAUCAGCCAGUCGUUAAGGCCCAAACCCAAUCAAAUUCAAUCCAAAAUUCCUUUGAAGUUCAGAAGUCUGAACAUGGAACUAAAUGAAUGAAACAACAACUAUUUUUGAAAUUUUUGUUUUGGUUAUAUAAAAAUAAAAUCUAAAAGAAAAUUUUUGAGUUUUUCAAUGACUGGAAAUUCAAAAAUAGAGAUCUGUACGAGGGUUUUUGGG